GGGUUCUACCGUUGGUCGGGCUUUGUCUGUACUGGCGUGUAGAAUUUCUACCUUCUGGGGAACCAUCAUGUUAUUAAUUUAACGUGGUGGGAAACCAGGACCUUUACCUUGAAAAAAUUAGAGUGUUCAAAGCAGGCUUAUGUCUGAAUACAUUAGCAUGGAAUAAUAGAAUAGGACGGUGGUCCUGUUUUGUUGGUUUCUGAAUCACCGUA
Molecule: ribosomal RNA, 212 nt
Filed under: Scutellospora sp. Early-39
Lineage: Eukaryota; Fungi; Glomeromycota; Glomeromycetes; Diversisporales; Gigasporaceae
Description: partial small subunit ribosomal RNA
Rfam family: Eukaryotic small subunit ribosomal RNA (bases 38-212)
Source: RNAcentral